Molecule: transfer RNA, 62 nt
Filed under: Artemia urmiana
Lineage: Eukaryota; Metazoa; Arthropoda; Branchiopoda; Anostraca; Artemiidae
Also listed under: 1 other name
Description: tRNA-His
Source: RNAcentral
UACUGUUAUAGUUUAAAAGAACAUUAGUUUGUGGAGCUAAAGGAGAGCAUUUCUGACAGUAU